RNAcentral lists this transfer RNA (73 nucleotides) under bacterium. RNAcentral describes it as "tRNA-Ile". It matches the Rfam family "tRNA". From Rfam's summary of the family: Transfer RNA (tRNA) molecules are approximately 80 nucleotides in length. Their secondary structure includes four short double-helical elements and three loops (D, anti-codon, and T loops). Further hydrogen bonds mediate the characteristic L-shaped molecular structure. tRNAs have two regions of fundamental functional importance: the anti-codon, which is responsible for specific mRNA codon recognition, and the 3' end, to which the tRNAs corresponding amino acid is attached (by aminoacyl-tRNA synthetases). tRNAs cope with the degeneracy of the genetic code in two manners: having more than one tRNA (with a specific anti-codon) for a particular amino acid; and 'wobble' base-pairing, i.e. permitting non-standard base-pairing at the 3rd anti-codon position. The record is from RNAcentral. RNAcentral also lists the same sequence under 1 other name.
GGACCCAUAGCUCAAUUGGCAGAGCAGGGGACUCAUAAUCCCUUGGUUCCAGGUUCGAGUCCUGGUGGGUCCA